UACGAAGGGGGCUAGCGUUGUUCGGAAUUACUGGGCGUAAAGCGCACGUUGGCGGACUUGUAAGUUGGGGGUGAAAUCCCGGGGCUCAACCCCGGAAUUGCCUUCAAGACUGCAAGUCUGGAGGUCAGGAGGGGCGAGCGGAAUUCCGAGUGUAGAGGUGAAAUUCGUAGAUAUUCGGAGGAACACCAGUGGCGAAGGCGGCUCGCUGGACUGAUACUGACGAUGAGGUGCGAAAGCGUGGGGAGCAAACAGG
This 253-nucleotide ribosomal RNA is filed under the name uncultured bacterium. Its description in RNAcentral is "partial 16S ribosomal RNA". It matches the Rfam family "Bacterial small subunit ribosomal RNA", at positions 524 to 776 of the family's 1533-position model. The record is from RNAcentral.